GAGUUGAUCGUGGCUCAGAUUGAACGCUGGCGGCAGGCCUAACACAUGCAAGUCGAGCGGAUGAAGGGAGCUUGCUCCUGGAUUCAGCGGCGGACGGGUGAGUAAUGCCUAGGAAUCUGCCUGGUAGUGGGGAUAACGUCCGGAAACGGGCGCUAAUACCGCAUACGUCCUGAGGGAGAAAGUGGGGAGUCUUCGGACCUCACGCUAUCAGACGAGCCUAGGUCGGAUUAGCUAGUUGGUGGGGUAAAGGCCUACCAAGGCGACGAUCCGUAACUGGUCUGAGAGGAUGAUCAGUCACACUGGAACUGAGACACGGUCCAGACUCCUACGGGAGGCAGCAGUGGGGAAUAUUGGACAAUGGGCGAAAGCCUGAUCCAGCCAUGCCGCGUGUGUGAAGAAGGUCUUCGGAUUGUAAAGCACUUUAAGUUGGGAGGAAGGGCAGUAAGUUAAUACCUUGCUGUUUUGACGUUACCAACAGAAUAAGCACCGGCUAACUUCGUGCCAGCCG
This 508-nucleotide ribosomal RNA is filed under the name uncultured microorganism. RNAcentral's name for it is "bacterial SSU rRNA". It matches the Rfam family "Bacterial small subunit ribosomal RNA", at positions 9 to 514 of the family's 1533-position model. The record is from RNAcentral.